RNAcentral lists this ribosomal RNA (466 nucleotides) under uncultured bacterium. RNAcentral describes it as "partial 16S ribosomal RNA". It matches the Rfam family "Bacterial small subunit ribosomal RNA", at positions 28 to 507 of the family's 1533-position model. The record is from RNAcentral.
GACGAACGCUGGCGGCGUGCUUAACACAUGCAAGUCGAACGGAAAGGCCCUGCUUGCAGGGUACUCGAGUGGCGAACGGGUGAGUAACACGUGUGUGAUCUGCCCUGCACUUCGGGAUAAGCUUGGAAAACGGGGUCUAAUACCGGAUAGGAGCCUUCUUUAGUGUGGUGGUUGCAGAGUUUUUUCGGUGUAUGGUUAGCUCGCGGCCUAUCAGCGUGUUGGUGGGGUAAUGGCCUACCAAGGCGGCGACGGGUAGCCGGCCUGGGAGGGUGGACGGCCACAUGGGGAAUGAGAAACGGGCCAGAGUCCUGCGGGAGGCAGGAGGGGGGAAUAGGGAAUAAUGGGCGAAAGGCUGAAGCAGGGACGACGAGUGCGGGGUGAAGGCCGUAGGGUUGUAGAUUGUUAUCCCUAGUGACGAAGCAUGUUUAUGACGGUACCGGGAGAAGAAGCACCGGCUAACUACGUG